AAAGAGAGAGGAGUAGAGAGAGAGAAAGAGAGAGAGGAGUAGAGAGAGAGAAAGAGAGAGAGGAGUAGAGAGAGAGAAAGAGAGAGAGGAGUAGAGAGAGAGAGAGAGAGAGGAAGAGGAGUAGAGAGAGAGAAAGAGAGGAGUAGAGAGAGAGAGAGAGCGAGGAGUAGAGAGAGAGAAAGAGAGGAGUAGAGAGAGAGAAAGAGAGGAGUAGAGAGAGAGAAAGAGAGGAGUAGAGAGAGGGAGGAGUAGAGAGAGAGCGAGGAGGAGUAGAGAGAGAGAGAGAGCGAGGAGUAGAGAGAGAGAAAGAGAGGAGUAGAGAGAGAGAAAGAGAGGAGUAGAGAGAGGUAGAGAGAGGUAGAGAGAGGAGUAGAGAGAGGAGUAGAGAGAGAGAGAGGAGUAGAGAGAGAGAGAGAGAGCGAGGAGUAGAGAGAGAGAAAGAGAGGAGUAGAGAGAGAGAAAGAGAGGAGUAGAGAGAGGGAGGAGUAGAGAGAGGAGUAGAGAGAGGAAGAGAGAGAGAGAGGAGUAGAGAGAGGAGUAGAGAGAGGAGUAGAGAGAGGAGUAGAGAGAGAGAGAGAGGAGAGAGAGAGAGAGAGAGGAGUAGAGAGAGAGAGAGAGGAGUAGAGAGAGAGAGAGAGCGAGGAGUAGAGAGAGAGAAAGAGAGGAGUAGAGAGAGGGAGGAGUAGAGAGAGGAGGAGAGAGAGAGAGAGAGGAG
Molecule: long non-coding RNA, 715 nt
Organism: Oncorhynchus tshawytscha (Chinook salmon)
Lineage: Eukaryota; Metazoa; Chordata; Actinopteri; Salmoniformes; Salmonidae
Source: Ensembl